Molecule: unclassified non-coding RNA, 352 nt
Filed under: soil metagenome
Description: partial contains 5.8S ribosomal RNA, internal transcribed spacer 2, and large subunit ribosomal RNA
Rfam family: 5.8S ribosomal RNA (bases 1-120)
Source: RNAcentral
GAUGAAGAACGUAGCGAAAUGCGAUACGUAGUGUGAAUUGCAGAAUUCAGUGAAUCAUCGAAUCUUUGAACGCACAUUGCGCCCGCUAGUAUUCUGGCGGGCAUGCCUGUUCGAGCGUCAUUUCAACCCCUUAAGCCCUCGUUGCUUAGUGUUGGGAGCCCACGGCAGCCCCGCCGUCGCUCCUCAAAUCCAGUGGCGGAGCCGGUUCGCGCUCUAGGCGUAGUAGAUUUUCUCCAUCUCGCCUACGGCCGGGCCGGCCCUCCUGCCGUAAAAGAACCCCCCCUCCACAGAAGGUUGACCUCGAAUCAGGUAGGAAUACCCGCUGAACUUAAGCAUAUCAAUAAGCGGAGGA